Molecule: long non-coding RNA, 451 nt
Organism: Canis lupus familiaris (dog)
Lineage: Eukaryota; Metazoa; Chordata; Mammalia; Carnivora; Canidae
Exons: 3
Source: RefSeq, a predicted model, not a curated record
UCACUGUUACUGGCAUGGAAUAGGUCCUCAACAAUUAUUGUUGGGAUAAAUGAAUCAACUGCGCAUCUUAUUAUACAUACUAAGCAAUUUUGAUACCAGGGAUCUUCAAGUGUACAAUUUUACUAAAACGCACAGGUGAAUUCUUGUCACCGCCCAUGCCACCAGCUUUUACUAAAUCAUUGCCCCACAUCUGGGGGCCCCUAUCCGAUGGGGAGAAACACCACAAUAACCAAGCAGAUGGCGAUCAACAAAAUCAACGAAAUCUCCUUUGAAGUCAGAAGUAAACUGUGAAGAAUUUGCUCAGUACAAAACCCUGUACCUGGAAUGCCUGAGUAGCUCAGUGGUUGAGCAUCUUCCUUUGGCUCAGGGCAUGAUCCCAGGGUCCUGGGAUCGAGUCCCACAUUGGGCUCCCCACAAGGAGCCUGCUUCUCCCUCUGCCUCUCUCUCUCUC